This 387-nucleotide ribosomal RNA is filed under the name uncultured bacterium. Its description in RNAcentral is "bacterial SSU rRNA". It matches the Rfam family "Bacterial small subunit ribosomal RNA", at positions 28 to 412 of the family's 1533-position model. The record is from RNAcentral.
GAUGAACGCUAGCGGCAGGCUUAAUACAUGCAAGUCGAGGGGCAACAGGGGUAGCAAUACCUGCUGGCGACCGGCAAACGGGUGCGGAACACGUACAGAACCUUCCUUUAAGCGGGGGAUAGCCCAUAGAAAUGUGGAUUAAUACCCCAUAGCAAUAUUUGAUGGCAUCAUCGGGUAUUUAAAGAUUUAUCACUUAAAGAUGGCUGUGCGGCUGAUUAGGUAGUUGGUGUGGGAACGGCCCACCAAGCCAGCGAUCAGUAACUGGUGUGAGAGCACGACCAGUCACACGGGCACUGAGACACGGGCCCGACUCCUACGGGAGGCAGCAGUAAGGAAUAUUGGUCAAUGGACGCAAGUCUGAACCAGCCAUGCCGCGUGAAGGAUGAA